GUUUUAGUAAUUUAAAAAAAAUAUCGGUCUUGUAAACCGAAAAUAAGAUUUCCCUUUUAAAACU
RNAcentral lists this transfer RNA (64 nucleotides) under Adoretus sp. ADO01. RNAcentral's name for it is "tRNA-Thr". It matches the Rfam family "tRNA". From Rfam's summary of the family: Transfer RNA (tRNA) molecules are approximately 80 nucleotides in length. Their secondary structure includes four short double-helical elements and three loops (D, anti-codon, and T loops). Further hydrogen bonds mediate the characteristic L-shaped molecular structure. tRNAs have two regions of fundamental functional importance: the anti-codon, which is responsible for specific mRNA codon recognition, and the 3' end, to which the tRNAs corresponding amino acid is attached (by aminoacyl-tRNA synthetases). tRNAs cope with the degeneracy of the genetic code in two manners: having more than one tRNA (with a specific anti-codon) for a particular amino acid; and 'wobble' base-pairing, i.e. permitting non-standard base-pairing at the 3rd anti-codon position. The record is from RNAcentral. Lineage: Eukaryota; Metazoa; Arthropoda; Insecta; Coleoptera; Scarabaeidae.